GACGAACGCUGGCGGCGUGCUUAACACAUGCAAGUCGAACGGAAAGGCCCUGCUUUUGUGGGGUGCUCGAGUGGCGAACGGGUGAGUAACACGUGAGUAACCUGCCCUUGACUUUGGGAUAACUUCAGGAAACUGGGGCUAAUACCGGAUAGGAUCUCCUGCUGCAUGGUGGUGGUUGGAAAGUUUCGGCGGUUGGGGAUGGACUCGCGGCUUAUCAGCUUGUUGGUGGGGUAGUGGCUUACCAAGGCUUUGACGGGUAGCCGGCCUGAGAGGGUGACCGGCCACAUUGGGACUGAGAUACGGCCCAGACUGCUACGGGAGGCAGCAGUGGGGAAUAUUGCACAAUGGGCGGAAGCCUGAUGCAGCAACGCCGCGUGCGGGAUGACGGCCUUCGGGUUGUAAACCGCUUUCGCCUGUGACGAAGCGUGAGUGACGGUAAUGGGUAAAGAAGCACCGGCUAACUACGUG
Molecule: ribosomal RNA, 468 nt
Filed under: uncultured bacterium
Lineage: Bacteria
Description: partial 16S ribosomal RNA
Rfam family: Bacterial small subunit ribosomal RNA
Source: RNAcentral